RNAcentral lists this ribosomal RNA (253 nucleotides) under uncultured bacterium. RNAcentral describes it as "partial 16S ribosomal RNA". It matches the Rfam family "Bacterial small subunit ribosomal RNA", at positions 524 to 776 of the family's 1533-position model. The record is from RNAcentral.
UACAGAGGUCUCAAGCGUUGUUCGGAUUCAUUGGGCGUAAAGGGUGUGUAGGUGGCGCGCUAAGUCGGGUGUGAAAUUUCGGAGCUUAACUCCGAAACUGCAUUCGAUACUGGCGUGCUUGAGGACUGGAGAGGAGAGUGGAAUUCCUGGUGUAGCGGUGGAAUGCGCAGAUAUCAGGAAGAACACCCGUGGCGAAGGCGGCUCUCUGGAACGCAACUGACGCUGAGACGCGAAAGCGUGGGGAGCAAACAGG